This 253-nucleotide ribosomal RNA is filed under the name uncultured bacterium. Its description in RNAcentral is "partial 16S ribosomal RNA". It matches the Rfam family "Bacterial small subunit ribosomal RNA", at positions 524 to 776 of the family's 1533-position model. The record is from RNAcentral.
UACAGAGGUCUCAACCGUUGUCCGGAUUUACUGGGCGUAAAGAGCGCGCAGGCGGCUGGUCAAGUCCGAUGUGAAAUCUCCCGGCUCAACUGGGAAACUGCAUCGGAAACUGAUCGGCUUGAAGAUGGGAGAGGGUAGUGGAAUUCCCGGUGUAGUGGUGAAAUGCGUAGAUAUCGGGAGGAACACCAGUGGCGAAGGCGACUACCUGGCCCAUUCUUGACGCUGAGGCGCGAAAGCUAGGGGAGCGAACAGG